CACUAUGCUUAGCCCUAAACUUUGAUAAUUUCAUAACAAAAUUAUUCGCCAGAGAACUACAAGCCAAAGCUUAAAACUCAAAGGACUUGGCGGUGCUUUAUACCCACCUAGAGGAGCCUGUUCCGUAAUCGAUAAACCCCGAUAAACCCUACCACUCUUUGCCAACUCAGCCUAUAUACCGCCAUCUUCAGCGAACCCUAAAAAGGAGCAAAAGUAAGCUCAAUUACCACCGUAAAAACGUUAGGUCAAGGUGUAGCCCAUAGAGUGGAGAGCAAUGGGCUACAUUUUCUACUUCAGAAUAUACGAAAGCCCUUAUGAAACUCUAAGGGCCAAAGGAGGAUUUAGUAGUAAAUUAAGAAUAGAGUGCUUAAUUGAACAAGGCCAUGAAGCACGC
RNAcentral lists this ribosomal RNA (394 nucleotides) under Oryctolagus cuniculus (rabbit). Its description in RNAcentral is "partial small subunit ribosomal RNA". It matches the Rfam family "Bacterial small subunit ribosomal RNA", at positions 788 to 1384 of the family's 1533-position model. Lineage: Eukaryota; Metazoa; Chordata; Mammalia; Lagomorpha; Leporidae. The record is from RNAcentral.